CGGAAACCGACGAGGUGGAGGCAAAACUAUAAAAGACGAUCUCAGUUCGGACUGCAGGCUGCAACUCGCCUGCACGAAGUUGGAAUUGCUAGUAAUCGUGGAUCAGCAUGCCACGGUGAAUACGUUCCCGGGUCUUGUACACACCGCCCGUCACACCAUGAGAGUCGAUAACACCCGAAGCCUGUGAGCUAACCGCAAGGGGGCAGCAGUCGAAGGUGGGGUUGAUGAUUGGGGUGAAGUCGUAACAAGGUACC
Molecule: ribosomal RNA, 254 nt
Filed under: uncultured bacterium
Lineage: Bacteria
Description: partial 16S ribosomal RNA
Rfam family: Bacterial small subunit ribosomal RNA
Source: RNAcentral